UGUGUUUAAGCACAGCUACUCUGACUGUGGCUUUUCCAUGGACCUGAACCAAAACAACUCAACUGCCAUUAUCCGAAAAUAGGCCAUGCCAUCGGAUCCUCCAGAGACGCACAGCUCAGGGAAUUCCACCACCUUCUCCAGGAGCUGCGCCCAGAUGACGGCUGCUUCCAGCGCUAUUUUCGGUUGACCUGGACCCUGUUGGAGAGGAUCGGUACCAGGAUACAGGCGUUCUAUCCCAGCUGCAGAGCACCUGCCCAUCUGUCUCCGGCUGGGCGGGGCCAUGGUUGAGGAGGACUCGCUCGCUUGUUAUCCACCACACCUGUCCCGCAUCGCAAUCAGUGCUCCUUUUAAGCUGGCUUCUCCCCGUGAUGCGGCGCCAGAGGAUUCACUCCCCUACAAGCGGUAGAUUGGCCACGCCCCCCAUGCACUGGAGCGCCAGUCCAGCGUGCACCGGCACUUCCCUCUCCUGCUUCCUUGGUGUCCUCACUCCAUCCCUGUUUAA
Long non-coding RNA from Stegastes partitus (bicolor damselfish), 502 nucleotides. RefSeq lists it as uncharacterized. The record is from RefSeq and is a predicted model, not a curated record. Lineage: Eukaryota; Metazoa; Chordata; Actinopteri; Pomacentridae. The transcript has 3 exons.